AUAUAUACUUUUAAAGUGCACGGACAGAUUUAUCACAGAUUGGACCAACUGAGACCGGGGAAAGAAGGCCCCCAUCAUAUGCAGUUGUACUUCUAUGACACUACGAUAUAAUGCACCUACUAUGGACCAAGUUGCAGUUAUCUGGCAGGAUGGCUUUGAUGAAAAAAAAUAAAUUUAAACGGAGUAUUAUGGUUUUUCCAAAUUCUGGGGGGGCACAAUUUAUACGGGCAUACCAUGGUUGUUAUGAUCCAUUAGCGUAUCCUAUCCUUUGUCCCAGUAGUGAGACUGGCUGGGAGGACAAGAGUAUAUUGUUGGAGAAAACACCUACAAUACGCUUUCCGCGACCUAGACGGAAAUAUACAAAGCGAAAAGCUGAGGAUGCUACGAAGGGUAAUUCUCAAGCGACAUGUAGAUCGGGUGUUAAAUGGAAAUAUGUAGAAACAACAAUUCAAGAUAUUUGUGAGGAACAAGGUGACUGUGACGACGACAUGGAUGAAGACGGUGAAGGAGAUAAACUUUAUACAUGG
Molecule: long non-coding RNA, 527 nt
Organism: Panicum virgatum (switchgrass)
Lineage: Eukaryota; Viridiplantae; Streptophyta; Magnoliopsida; Poales; Poaceae
Exons: 3
Source: RefSeq, a predicted model, not a curated record